UACGGAGGAUGCGAGCGUUAUCCGGAUUUAUUGGGUUUAAAGGGUGCGUAGGCGGUAUGGUAAGUCAGCGGUAAAAGCCCGGGGCUCAACCCCGGCGAGCCGUUGAAACUGCCGUGCCAGAGAGGAAGAGAAGUAGGCGGAAUGCGCAGUGUAGCGGUGAAAUGCAUAGAUAUCACGAAGAACUCCGAUUGCGAAGGCAGCUUACCAGUCUGCGACUGACGCUCAGGCACGAAAGUGUGGGUAUCGAACAGG
This 252-nucleotide ribosomal RNA is filed under the name uncultured Bacteroidales bacterium. RNAcentral's name for it is "partial 16S ribosomal RNA". It matches the Rfam family "Bacterial small subunit ribosomal RNA", at positions 524 to 776 of the family's 1533-position model. The record is from RNAcentral. Lineage: Bacteria; Pseudomonadati; Bacteroidota; Bacteroidia; Bacteroidales.